This 99-nucleotide signal recognition particle RNA is filed under the name Candidatus Cloacimonadota bacterium. Its description in RNAcentral is "signal recognition particle sRNA small type". It matches the Rfam family "Bacterial small signal recognition particle RNA". Rfam says of the family: The signal recognition particle (SRP) is a universally conserved ribonucleoprotein involved in the co-translational targeting of proteins to membranes. Archaeal SRP consists of a 7S RNA and homologues of the eukaryotic SRP19 and SRP54 proteins. In most bacteria, the SRP consists of a 4.5S RNA and the Ffh protein (a homologue of the eukaryotic SRP54 protein). RNAcentral also lists the same sequence under 1 other name. Lineage: Bacteria; Pseudomonadati; Candidatus Cloacimonadota. The record is from RNAcentral.
UGCCAGGUCCGAUGCAAUUACUACUUGCGAACCAGGUCAGAUACGGAAGUAAGCAGCCUUAAGCUGUGUGUGUAAUGUGACAUCGGCAACCUGGUAUUU